UGGGGAAUAUUGGACAAUGGGGGGAACCCUGAUCCAGCCAUGCCGCGUGUGUGAAGAAGGCCUUAUGGUUGUAAAGCACUUUAAGCGAGGAGGAGGGUACUGGUAUUAAUACUACCAGGUACUGGACGUUACUCGCAGAAUAAGCACCGGCUAACUCUAUGCCAGCAGCCGCGGUAAUACAGAGGGUGCGAGCGUUAAUCGGAUUUACUGGGCGUAAAGCGUGCGUAGGCGGCUAAUUGAGUCGGAUGUGAAAUCCCCGAGCUUAACUUGGGAAUUGCAUUCGAUACUGGUUAGCUAGAGUGUGGGAGAGGAUGGUAGAAUUCCAGGUGUAGCGGUGAAAUGCGUAGAGAUCUGGAGGAAUACCGAUGGCGAAGGCAGCCAUCUGGCCUAACACUGACGCUGAGGUACGAAAGCAUGGGGAGCAAACAGG
Molecule: ribosomal RNA, 430 nt
Filed under: Pseudomonadota bacterium
Lineage: Bacteria; Pseudomonadati; Pseudomonadota
Description: Proteobacteria bacterium partial 16S ribosomal RNA
Rfam family: Bacterial small subunit ribosomal RNA
Source: RNAcentral